CUUGCCUUUCCACCCCCUAAUUGUCAACCACAAAAAUGAGAAAUUCCUCUUCUAGCUCAGCCUUGAGUCCAUUGCCAAAUUUUCAGCACACCUGCCAGCAACUUGGGGGAAUAAGCGAAGGUUUCCCUACAAGAGGGAAAGAAGGCAAAAACGGCACAGCUAUCUCCAAACACAUCUGAGUUCAUUUCAAAAGUGACCAAGGGAAUCUCCGCACAAAAGUGCAGAUUGAGGAAUUGUGAUGGGUCAUUCCCAAGAAUCCCCCAAGGGGCAUCCCAAAUCCCUGAGGAGUAACAGCUGCAAACCUGGUCAGUUCUCAGUGAGAGCCAGCUCACUUAUAGCUUUGCUGCUAGAACCUGUUGUGGCUGCAUUUCCUGGUGGCCAGUGACAACUGUGUAACCAGAAUAGCUGCAUGGCGCUGACCCUUUGGCCGGAACUUGGUCUCUUGGCUCCCUCCUUGGCCACCCACCACCUCUCGCACAGCCCCUCUGUUUUUACACCAAUAACAAGAAUUAAGGGGGAAGCCCUGGCAGCUAUACGUUUUCAACCAGACUCCUUUGCCGGGACCCAGCCCGCCACCCUGCUCGCCUCCGUCAAACCCCCGGCCAAUGCAGUGAGCACCAUGUAGCUCCCUUGAUUUAAAAAAAAUAAAAAAUAAAAAAAAAAGGAAAAAAAAAUACAACACACACACAAAAAUAAAAAAAAUAUUCUAAUGAAUGUAUCUUUCUAAAGGACUGACGUUCAAUCAAAUAUCUGAAAAUACUAAAGGUCAAAACCUUGUCAGAUGUUAACUUCUAAGUUCGGUUUGGGAUUUUUUUUUUUUAAUAGAAAUCAAGUUGUUUUUGUUUUUAAGGAAAAGCGGGUCAUUGCAAAGGGCUGGGUGUAAUUUUAUGUUUCAUUUCCUUCAUUUUAAAGCAAUACAAGGUUAUGGAGCAGAUGGUUUUGUGCCGAAUCAUGAAUACUAGUCAAGUCACACACUCUGGAAACUUGCAACUUUUUGUUUGUUUUGGUUUUCAAAUAAAUAUAAAUAUGAUAUAUAUAGGAACUAAUAUAGUAAUGCACCAUGUAACAAAGCCUAGUUCAGUCCAUGGCUUUUAAUUCUCUUAACACUAUAGAUAAGGAUUGUGUUACAGUUGCUAGUAGCGGCAGGAAGAUGUCAGGCUCACUUUCCUCUGAUUCCCGAAAUGGGGGGAACCUCUAACCAUAAAGGAAUGGUAGAACAGUCCAUUCCUCGGAUCAGAGAAAAAUGCAGACAUGGUGUCACCUGGAUUUUUUUCUGCCCAUGAAUGUUGCCAGUCAGUACCUGUCCUCCUUGUUUCUCUAUUUUUGGUUAUGAAUGUUGGGGUUACCACCUGCAUUUAGGGGAAAAUUGUGUUCUGUGCUUUCCUGGUAUCUUGUUCCGAGGUACUCUAGUUCUGUCUUUCAACCAAGAAAAUAGAAUUGUGGUGUUUCUUUUAUUGAACUUUUAACAGUCUCUUUAGUAAAUACAGGUAGUUGAAUAAUUGUUUCAAGAGCUCAACAGAUGACAAGCUUCUUUUCUAGAAAUAAGACAUUUUUUGACAACUUUAUCAUGUAUAACAGAUCUGUUUUUUUUCCUUGUGUUCUUCCAAGCUUCUGGUUAGAGAAAAAGAGAAAAAAAAAAAAGGAAAAUGUGUCUAAAGUCCAUCAGUGUUAACUCCCUGUGACAGGGAUGAAGGAAAAUACUUUAAUAGUUCAAAAAAUAAUAAUGCUGAAAGCUCUCUACGAAAGACUGAAUGUAAAAGUAAAAAGUGUACAUAGUUGUAAAAAAAAGGAGUUUUUAAACAUGUUUAUUUUCUAUGCACUUUUUUUUAUUUAAGUGAUAGUUUAAUUAAUAAACAUGUCAAGUUU
RNAcentral lists this long non-coding RNA (1866 nucleotides) under Homo sapiens (human). RNAcentral describes it as "non-protein coding lnc-TTC36-2:1". The record is from RNAcentral. Lineage: Eukaryota; Metazoa; Chordata; Mammalia; Primates; Hominidae.